UGUAAAAAACUUCAUUCAUUUCUACUGUUAAAAAUUGGCAUGGCUGACAAAAUAACCAAACAAAUACACAUGGUGUGUCACGUGUACCCCAUGUUGACGUACAAUGACCAAUUUUUAACAGUAGAAACGGAUGAAAAUUUUAACA
This is a non-coding RNA of Gossypium hirsutum (cotton), 145 nucleotides long. Lineage: Eukaryota; Viridiplantae; Streptophyta; Magnoliopsida; Malvales; Malvaceae. The record is from Rfam.